CCUACGGGUGGCAGCAGUGGGGAAUAUUGCACAAUGGGGGAAACCCUGAUGCAGCGACGCCGCGUGAGUGAAGAAGGAUUUCGGUAUGUAAAGCCCUAUCAGCAGGGAAGAAAAUGACGGUACCUGACUAAGAAGCCCCGGCUAACUACGUGCCAGCAGCCGCGGUAAUACGUAGGGGGCAAGCGUUAUCCGGAUUUACUGGGUGUAAAGGGAGCGUAGACGGCAGCACAAGUCUGGAGUGAAAUGCUGGGGCUUAACCCCAGAACUGCUUUUGAAACUGUGCUGCUAGAGUGCGGGAGAGGUAGGUGGAAUUCCUGGUGUAGCGGUGAAAUGCGUAGAUAUUAGGAGGAACACCAGUGGCGAAGGCGGCUUACUGGACUGUAACUGACGUUGAGGCGCGAAAGCGUGGGGAGCAAACAGGAUUAGAUACCCGAGUAGUC
This 440-nucleotide ribosomal RNA is filed under the name uncultured bacterium. Its description in RNAcentral is "partial 16S ribosomal RNA". It matches the Rfam family "Bacterial small subunit ribosomal RNA", at positions 338 to 795 of the family's 1533-position model. The record is from RNAcentral.